AAACUUGGAUAAAACAUAGCCGGCGUCGGGAGAUGCUUUCCGCGCAGAAUUCAAAGCAUAUAAACAAACCCGGGGAGGGAGCGAGGUUGUCCGGAGGGGGCCUUCAGGAGUAAUAUUUAGAAGUACUAGCUGAAAAUAUCCCCGCAGACAGGGCUGUUUUAUCAAGGCAGAUUUCCAGCRUYGUGUGGGAAAGCRUCAAUUCUGGGCGCGCGUUGUUUCRGGGGAAAAGACAGCGAGAACCCCGAAACGUUUCCCUCCCGCAGGACGGACGGAAGCCCAGGACUCGCCCGGCGUCGGGCUCCCGUUGUGGCUCUGCCCGUCUCCCGGUUCGGGAGCAGCUGGGUCACGUGGACUCACCAGUAUCCUACUGGGAGGACCAGCGUGCUUGAUCUGUGCUGGGCAUCRGCCACGCAAUAGGCACUGGCACACCAGCAGCUGCCCUGCCUGCUUCCGCUUGGGAUGCGCCAGUUUUGGGAAACCCACCCUUGGAGCUGGGAGCAGAGCCGCCGACUGGAUCUUUGCAGUGGGACCAAGUGAGCUGAACCGAGUCCCAGCUUUUAGCUGGGAGCUGCAUCUUCCCCCCACCCCGGGAAGAUGAGAGGAAAGCGCUUCCCUGGAAAUCAGGUCUCCCUGUCGGAGCUGGGCUGAGCACCUCCGCUCAGAGUGCGGCUCUCUUGAAGUAAGGUUUACAGAUUUCAGAACUUUAGGGGUUUUUAAUGACUUCUGUCAAAAUCUGAGAGAUGUGUGAGCACUCCGCAAAGCGAGCUAGCCGGCUUUGUGCCGUUACCUGAUGCGAGGGCGGGUUUGCAGCGCGGAGACCGCAGUGAGUCAGGAGAGCACGUCCCGUUAAYGGCUCGGCUGCGGCUGCACACCACGUUUGGAGCGUGAGGGAAUAACUCGCAGAGCAGUGGAAGAGCUGAGGCGGCAGGCUGGGGUGCUGGGCGCUUCCUCAUGUCGCCCGGUUUUCGGAGCAGAGCUGCUCUGCAAUAAAACACCUGCUAUUCCGGCGCCA
Molecule: long non-coding RNA, 1012 nt
Filed under: Dromaius novaehollandiae (emu)
Lineage: Eukaryota; Metazoa; Chordata; Aves; Casuariiformes; Dromaiidae
Description: lncRNA (ENSDNVG00000012726.1)
Source: RNAcentral